GUGUUUUCUAGGAUUUUUAAACUGAUUUGCCCAUUUUCAGGAGAGUCCAUCAAUAUCUUAUAGAUGGGGUGCAACACCCUGCACCCCAUUAGUGUUUUCUGAGCAGUUCCAUCGCUGAAACUACACAGCGGUGUCCACUGUGCAGGGGACAGAGCUGGUUAUUACAGUGCUGUUCCUGUUCACUUCAAUGACAGCAGCUCUGUAGUAACUAGUUCUGGCCACUACACAGUUGACGGAGCUACUCCCAAUAGUCCCUGGACCCUCACUGAUCUGACACCGAUAGCCAAUCAAUAUAAAAAUCCUGAAAACCCCUUUGAAAGACCAGAGUAGUGUCUGUCUACAAAACCCUAAAUCUGCUGCAAAGAAUCAUUAGAUUGAAGGUCAUCUCCCGGGAAACUUUAGGUAAAAAAAAUGGCAAUACUACCAGGGCGCUAAGAUUUACCACACUUUAUAUUAUAGUAUAAAACUAGACAUAAACAAAGUGAUCGGAUCUUAGCUUAGCUAGCAUUUCCACCGAUGCUCGCGGCUUCUUACAGGCUGACCUAGUCAGUACUGCCAUUUUUUACCUAAAUUUACCUCUGAUCAUCGGGACCUACUCUGGAUGCCCGCUGCAAAAGGGAGCUGCUUCAAUACCGCACAAGCUAUUUCACAUACGCUUUCCAGUGUUGUGCAUGGCGUGCACAACAUGAUCUGGCGAGUUACGAUCCCUGACAAUUAGGGGCACUCUCCGAAAAACUGUUUACACACAGGGGGCGCAUUCCUUCUCUAUUCUCUUCUAAUUCCCGGGAAACUGGAACUGAAACGUUAAUAAAUGCAAAAUAAAACUAUAACAUUACACAACUCCAUGGUUAAGCUACUUUCAC
Molecule: long non-coding RNA, 863 nt
Organism: Bufo bufo (common toad)
Lineage: Eukaryota; Metazoa; Chordata; Amphibia; Anura; Bufonidae
Exons: 3
Source: RefSeq, a predicted model, not a curated record